CCUACGGGUGGCAGCAGUGAGGAAUAUUGGUCAAUGGACGGAAGACUGAACCAGCCAUGCCGCGUGAAGGAAGAAGGCACUAUGAGUUGUAAACUGCUUUUGUACAAGGGUAAACCUGAAUACGUGUAUUCAGCUGAAAGUACUGUACGAAUAAGCAUCGGCUAACUCCGUGCCAGCAGCCGCGGUAAUACGGAGGAUCCGAGCGUUAUCCGGAUUUAUUGGGUUUAAAGGGUGCGUAGGCGGAUUGAUAAGUUAGCGGUGAAAGGUCCGAGCUUAACUCGGGAACUGCCUCUAAUACUGGUGAUCUAGAGAGUAGGUGCGGUAGGCGGAAUGUAUGGUGUAGCGGUGAAAUGCUUAGAGAUCAUGCAGAACACCGAUUGCGAAGGCAGCUUACCAAUCUAUAUCUGACGUUGAGGCACGAAAGCGUGGGGAGCAAACAGGAUUAGAUACCCCAGUAGUC
Molecule: ribosomal RNA, 460 nt
Filed under: uncultured bacterium
Lineage: Bacteria
Description: partial 16S ribosomal RNA
Rfam family: Bacterial small subunit ribosomal RNA
Source: RNAcentral